UACGGGGGGUGCAAGCGUUGUUCGGAUUUAUUGGGCGUAAAGCGCGUGUAGGCGGUUUGUUAAGUCUGAUGUGAAAGCCCUGGGCUCAACCCAGGAAGUGCAUUGGAUACUGGCAGACUUGAAUAAGGGAGAGGGUAGUGGAGUUCCUGGUGUAGGAGUGAAAUCCGUAGAUAUCAGGAGGAACACCGGUGGCGAAGGCGGCUACCUGGACCGAUAUUGACGCUGAGACGCGAAAGCGUGGGUAGCAAACAGG
Molecule: ribosomal RNA, 253 nt
Filed under: uncultured bacterium
Lineage: Bacteria
Description: partial 16S ribosomal RNA
Rfam family: Bacterial small subunit ribosomal RNA
Source: RNAcentral